Molecule: ribosomal RNA, 1063 nt
Filed under: human gut metagenome
Description: bacterial SSU rRNA
Rfam family: Bacterial small subunit ribosomal RNA
Source: RNAcentral
AGAGUUUGAUCCUGGCUCAGGAUGAACGCUAGCGACAGGCUUAACACAUGCAAGUCGAGGGGCAUCAUGAGGUAGCAAUACCUUGAUGGCGACCGGCGCACGGGUGAGUAACGCGUAUGCAACCUGCCUGAUACUCGGGGUAUAGCCCAUGGAAACGUGGAUUAACACCCCAUAGUACUUUUAUCCUGCAUGGGAUGUGAGUUAAAUGUUCAAGGUAUCGGAUGGGCAUGCGUCCUAUUAGUUAGUUGGCGGGGUAACAGCCCACCAAGACGAUGAUAGGUAGGGGUUCUGAGAGGAAGGUCCCCCACAUUGGAACUGAGACACGGUCCAAACUCCUACGGGAGGCAGCAGUGAGGAAUAUUGGUCAAUGGACGAGAGUCUGAACCAGCCAAGUCGCGUGAGGGAAGACUGCCCUAUGGGUUGUAAACCUCUUUUAUAAGGGAAGAAUAAGUUCUACGUGUAGAAUGAUGCCUGUACCUUAUGAAUAAGCAUCGGCUAACUCCGUGCCAGCAGCCGCGGUAAUACGGAGGAUGCGAGCGUUAUCCGGAUUUAUUGGGUUUAAAGGGUGCGUAGGCGGUUUAUUAAGUUAGUGGUUAAAUAUUUGAGCUAAACUCAAUUGUGCCAUUAAUACUGGUAAACUGGAGUACAGACGAGGUAGGCGGAAUAAGUUAAGUAGCGGUGAAAUGCAUAGAUAUAACUUAGAACUCCGAUAGCGAAGGCAGCUUACCAGACUGUAACUGACGCUGAUGCACGAGAGCGUGGGUAGCGAACAGGAUUAGAUACCCUGGUAGUCCACGCCGUAAACGAUGCUCACUGGUUCUGUGCGAUAUAUUGUACGGGAUUAAGCGAAAGUAUUAAGUGAGCCACCUGGGGAGUACGUCGGCAACGAUGAAACUCAAAGGAAUUGACGGGGGCCCGCACAAGCGGAGGAACAUGUGGUUUAAUUCGAUGAUACGCGAGGAACCUUACCUGGGUUUAAAUGGGAAAUGUCGUAUUUGGAAACAGAUAUUCUCUUCGGAGCGUUUUUCAAGGUGCUGCAUGGUUGUCGUCAGCUCGUGCCGUG